Molecule: ribosomal RNA, 254 nt
Filed under: uncultured bacterium
Lineage: Bacteria
Description: partial 16S ribosomal RNA
Rfam family: Bacterial small subunit ribosomal RNA
Source: RNAcentral
GACGAACCGUGCGAACGUUAUUCGGAAUCACUGGGCUUAAAGCGCGUGUAGGCGGGCCGGCACGUCGAGCGUUGAAAUCCCCCGGCUCAACCGGGGAAGGGGCCUCGAUACGACCGGCCUGGAGGGGGGUAGGGGGAUCGGGAACUUCCGGUGGAGCGGUGAAAUGCGUUGAGAUCGGAAGGAACGCCCGCGGCGAAAGCGCGGUCCUGGACCCCACCUGACGCUGAGACGCGAAAGCCAGGGGAGCGAACGGG